UACGUAGGGGGCAAGCGUUGUCCGGAUUUAUUGGGCGUAAAGAGCGUGUAGGCGGCUUGGUAGGUCCGCUGUGAAAACUCGAGGCUCAACCUCGAGAUGGCGGCGGAAACCACUUGGCUAGAGUCCGGAAGAGGAGAGUGGAAUUCCUGGUGUAGCGGUGAAAUGCGCAGAUAUCAGGAAGAACACCUAUGGCGAAGGCAGCUCUCUGGGACGGUACUGACGCUGAGACGCGAAAGCGUGGGGAGCGAACAGG
RNAcentral lists this ribosomal RNA (253 nucleotides) under uncultured bacterium. RNAcentral describes it as "partial 16S ribosomal RNA". It matches the Rfam family "Bacterial small subunit ribosomal RNA", at positions 524 to 776 of the family's 1533-position model. The record is from RNAcentral.